UUCACGCGGAAACUCGCCAAAAGAAUGCGCGGCAACGCUCCAAGAUGUGAUACGGCAAUAAUAACACUCUUCUAUUUUUACCGUCCGAACUCCCAAUCGAUCGAUCGAUGCCUCAUCAUAGAUCGUAUCGGGGUGAGUCGCGACGCUUCUUCGAACGCUACUCCAUGGACUCUAACGAAGUCCGCCGCGAAGUUCCUUCAGACACGUCUGUGAUGUUUUCAGUGAUGACGUGCGGAACGACGAUGCGGAGCGUACAAACCACCGCUAGACAAAACACGCAACAUUCUCAUGUAACGGAAGCGGGAAAGCAUAGGUGAUUGACCAUACGAACUUCCUUCUGACGGGAUCAGAGUCUCUCUCAUCGCCGAUCGCUUGAUCCUUCAACGCUCCAGGAGUUCCGUCGAAUUACGUUUCCGAGACUUUCCUUCACGAGAAAUACAGGAUCGACGAUGGAUCGAAUUAGUCUCUCUCUCCCCAAAUUUCGCUCUGCCGAUUCGGCUCUUCGUAUAUUUACACAACAAAAGUAACGAUGUCACACUCGUGCAUGAAGAAGCGAACGACACUGCGUGAAUCGAUCGUGUGUGUGUGUGUGUGUGUAUUCCAGCGACAUAGCGGAAAGAGAAACGCGCAAAUUGCGCAUAAAACGAUUACAUCAUAUCUGCUGUCGUUCUUUGUCGAGCACGUGAGGCGAUGAAGGUCACCAGUCUCCGGUAAAUAUUGUAACGCUAUGUUUUUAUCGUUAAACAUUAGAAGAGUUCCGCGCCUUA
Molecule: long non-coding RNA, 767 nt
Organism: Dinoponera quadriceps
Lineage: Eukaryota; Metazoa; Arthropoda; Insecta; Hymenoptera; Formicidae
Exons: 2
Source: RefSeq, a predicted model, not a curated record